RNAcentral lists this ribosomal RNA (1913 nucleotides) under Thermotogota bacterium. RNAcentral's name for it is "bacterial LSU rRNA". It matches the Rfam family "Bacterial large subunit ribosomal RNA", at positions 160 to 2014 of the family's 2925-position model. Lineage: Bacteria; Thermotogati; Thermotogota. The record is from RNAcentral.
GAACACAUAAGUACAGGAGAGCAACCGGGGGAACUGAAACAUCUUAGUACCCCGAGGAAAAGAAAUCAAAAGAGAUUCCCUGAGUAGCGGCGAGCGAAAGGGGAGGAGCCCAAACCAUGGCAGUGCAGAAGCCCGUGGGCGUUGCUGUCAUGGGGUAGAGGGACAUAGCCGGGCGGGGCCACGGACCUGCCGGGGAGUUACAAAUCCUGUGUCUAGCCGAAAGGUCUGGGAAGGCCUGCCGUAGAGGGUGAGAGCCCCGUAGGCGAAAGGCGCAGGACUCCCUGGGCUAUGAUCCCAAGUAGCGUCGGACACGUGGAAUCCGGCGUGAAUCAGGGGGGACCACCCUCCAAGGCUAAAUACUACCCGCUGACCGAUAGAGAAGUAGUACCGUGAGGGAAAGGUGAAAAGAACCCCUGGCGGGGAGUGAAAUAGAACCUGAAACCGCGCGCUGACAAGAAGCGGGAGCCCGAGAGGGUGACCGUGUGCCUUUUGAUUAAUGAGCCUGCGAGUUGUCGUACCUGGCGAGGUUAAGCCGGAGGAGGCGUAGCCGUAGGGAAACCGAGUCUGAAUAGGGCGCGAGUCAGGUACGGCAGACCCGAAGCCGGGUGAGCUACCCAUGGCCAGGGUGAAGGUAGGGUAAAACCUACUGGAGGCCCGAACCGGUUGGCAGUGAAAAGCCAUCGGAUGAGCUGUGGGUAGGAGUGAAAAGCUAAUCGAACCCGGUGAUAGCUGGUUCUCCCCGAAACGUAUUGAGGUACGGCCUCAGGUGGUUAGUGUCGGGGGUAGAGCACUGGAUGGGCUAGGGGGGUAACCUCCGAACCCAACCAAACUCCGAAUCCCGGCACUCAAAGCCUGGGAGACAGACUGCGGGGGAUAAGCUCCGUGGUCGAGAGGGGAACAGCCCAGACCGACAGCUAAGGUCCCGAAGAGGUGGCUAAGUGUGGAAGGAAGUGGCGUGCCUGAGACAGCUGGGAUGUUGGCUUAGAAGCAGCCAUCAUUUAAAGAGUGCGUAACAGCUCACCAGUUGAGGCACGCUGCGCCGAAGAUGUAAGGGGGCUGAAGCCACCCGCCGAAGCUACGGGUCAGUGUCGUAGGGCACUGGCGGUAGGGGAGCGAUGCGCUGUAGGGUGAAGGUGGUGCGAGAGCGCCGCUGGACGAGGCGCAUGAGAGAAUGCAGGCACGAGUAACGAGAAGAGAGUGAGAAUCUCUCUCCCCGCAAGCCCAAGGGUACCUGGGGAAGGGUCGUCCGCCCAGGGUAAGCCGGUACCCUAAGGUGAACCCGAAAGGGGUAGCCGAUGGGAAACGGGUUAAUAAUCCCGUGCCACCACAUGGCGAGGCUAAAGGGGUGACGCAGGAGGAUAGGCUCCGAGGACAAGUGGCAAGUCCUUCCAAGCCACGAGGACUGAGAAGGGCGUAGGCAAAUCCGCGCCUGGAGUCUGAGUGGUGAAGGGGAGCGCCUUUAAGGUGCAACGGGGCCGAGUUCACACUGCCGAGAAAAGCCUCGUUAGCCGAUUGAGUCAUGUGGUGACCGUUCCGCAAACCGACACAGGUGGGCUGGCUGAGGAGGCCAAGGGGAGCGGGAGAACCCUUGCCAAGGAACUCGGCAAAAUGGCCCCGUAACUUCGGGAGAAGGGGUGCUCCUGGGGGUGUAAAAGCCUCUGGGAGUCGCAGUGACAAGGCCCUGGCGACUGUUUACCAAAAACACAGGUCUCUGCCAACUCGAAAAGAGGAGGUAUAGGGACUGACGCCUGCCCAGUGCCGGAAGGUUAAGGGGAGGGGUGAGGCCUCUGAAAGGGGGCGUAGCUCCGAACCGAAGCCCCGGCAAACGGCGGCCGUAACUAUAACGGUCCUAAGGUAGCGAAAUUCCUUGUCGGGUAAGUUCCGACCUGCAUGAAUGGCGUAACGACUGGGGC